This 99-nucleotide small nuclear RNA is filed under the name Ornithorhynchus anatinus (platypus). Lineage: Eukaryota; Metazoa; Chordata; Mammalia; Monotremata; Ornithorhynchidae. The record is from RNAcentral.
GUAUGUUUCAGCAGCACAUAUACUAAAAUUGGAACGAUUCAGAGAAAAUUAGCAUGGCCCCUACGCAAGGAUGACACGCAAAUUCGUGAAGCGAUUUUU